AGCUUCGAGAGUUGAGUAUAUAUAGUGAGGUUUUCAGAUAUUUGGGGAGGAAGAAAAAAAAUUCGGAGAUUUUUCUGAGUGGAUUUUUAGAAUUUGUCAUCCGAAAAAGAAGUCUUUGGUUUUUUUUCCUGAUAUUUUAGGUCAUCCUCUUUGAUUUAGUUUUUUUUUUCAGUUUAUUCUUUGAUAUCCAGAAACAGAAAAACACAAAAAAUUAUUACAUGUAUUUGGCUUCUUGAUUUGAUUUUCCAACGAUGGAAUUUGAUUAAGGAUGGUCUGAGUUCGUCGGAGUUGAAGAUUAUUUUUCCGUUUCGAGUUUUGUUAGUGUUUUGUGUUUCUCGUUGCGGUCUCAUCUCUUUAUUUCCAGCAGCUAGGAAAGAAGGAUUUGGUUGUAAACGACAUUUUUCAUUGCUGUUGUUAAAAGAAGAAUUACUUAACAGGUGGAUUUCCUUUUCCCCACUCUUUAUUUUUCUUGAAUCGAGCUUAGAAGAAGCCAUGAAUAGACAUAUUUAAAUUUCAUAGUGAUAACAAAUUUGUUCAUCCAUCUUCUGUUCGUUCCAUUUCAUUAUAGGAGGUGUGUCCAAGUUGAUAGUUCUAUGUCAGUUGUGCUCUUUUGAGUAUUUUGUGUGAAGUGAUUAGCAUGGUUAUGUGUUCUUUCUUUCUUUUUCUCUUUCCCUGGUUUAAAAGAAUGAAUCAACUUUUCUCAAGGUUCUCAUGGUCUAUUUCCUAAUUGACAAAUAAGAAUUAGAAUUAUGUGCUUGCUUGCAAGCUUCUUCUGAUUGUAGGAAUCUGAAAAAUUAUCUUCAUUACGUGUUUGGAUUGAGUUAAUGGUUGGUUUUGUUAGUCAAUUUCAAUACAGCAUGGUGUGUUAACCAAUUUUCAGGAAUUCAAAGAUGUUGAUUUCAAAAUAAGCAUCGUUACUGCUAUGAUCUUCUAUUUUAUUAAAAGUGAUUUGAAGCAUGUUUAGUCUGUCAUUAAGUUGAAUCAUUUUAUUUUGUUGAAACUUAAAGGAUGGGAUUCCGUUUCCCUGAUUAAACGGUCUUUGUUUUAACUUAGUGCUAUGGCAUAUUUUGGACCACCCGCCUCUGAAAUUGUUGUAUUUUCCUUCAAUAGUUGCAAGUUUGAAGUCAGGAGGUCUUAAGAGUACCAUUUUGAUUAAAUUGAUGUGUACACGGUUUGAAUGG
This 1181-nucleotide long non-coding RNA is filed under the name Nicotiana tabacum (common tobacco). RNAcentral describes it as "long non-coding RNA (NTAB_LNC004220)". Lineage: Eukaryota; Viridiplantae; Streptophyta; Magnoliopsida; Solanales; Solanaceae. The record is from RNAcentral.